Molecule: ribosomal RNA, 591 nt
Filed under: Triticum aestivum (bread wheat)
Lineage: Eukaryota; Viridiplantae; Streptophyta; Magnoliopsida; Poales; Poaceae
Description: partial small subunit ribosomal RNA
Source: RNAcentral
AUGAGGGUGUUCCUUCCGGGCCUUGGGCGAGGGGCCAGACCGCCUUGGAAGGACAUGGCGGAGGAACUACUGGCCCGUCUCACCCUGCAGGAGGAAGAAGAGGAUGAUUUUGUUUGGGAAGAGGAACUCCCAGAUAUGAUGGAACCGGCGAGGUGGCUGGCGAUCGUGAGGGUUCACACAACAAAAACCUUCAGCCCUAACGCAUUGUACGGUGACAUGAGGGCGUCCUGGAACCCGGCAAAGACAGUAGUCUGGAGGAAGAUCAGAGAGAACCUGUUUACGACGCAAUUCGGCUGCCUUACAGAUUGGAAGAAAGCGAUGCUUGAUGGUCCUUGGCUGUUUAGGGAUCAGGCGGUGAUCCUGGAGGAGUAUGAUGGAUUCAAAAACCCUGAUUCGUUCAAGUUGGAUAAGAUUGAGGUGUGGGCUCAGAUCCAUCGCCUACCUGACAAUUUUCUUAUUGAGUCGGCGGUGAAGGGACUUGCGUCACGGAUCGGUGAGGUGAUGGAGGUGCAGCUGAAGUUGCCGGCGGGAUUUUUUGGCAAAUUUGUGAGAGUUAGAGUCAAGAUUGAUGUGAAUGCAAAAAUCAAAUGA